This 381-nucleotide ribosomal RNA is filed under the name uncultured bacterium. Its description in RNAcentral is "partial 16S ribosomal RNA". It matches the Rfam family "Bacterial small subunit ribosomal RNA", at positions 78 to 526 of the family's 1533-position model. The record is from RNAcentral.
ACCUGCGCGUCUCGCAAGUGGCGGACGGGUGAGUCAUUUCUUUGAAACUGCCUUAUGGAGGGGGAUAACUACUGGAAACGGUAGCUAAUACCGCAUACCAUCGGAUGUGCCCAGAUGGGAUUAGCUAGUAGGUGGGGUAAAGGCUCACCUAGGCGACGAUCCCUAGGUGGUCUGAGAGGAUUACCAGGAACACGGGAACUGAGACAAGGUACAGACUAUUAGGGGAGGCAGCAGUGGGGAAGAUUGAAAAAUGGGCGGAAGCAGGAUGCAGCCAUGCAUCGUGGAUGAAGAAGGCCUUAGGGUUGUAAAGUAAUUUAAGCGGGGAGGCGUGACCAGCAGAAGAAGCACAGGCUAACUCCGUGACAGAAGCCGCGGUAAUUC